UACGGGGGGGGCAAGCGUUGUCCGGAAUCAUUGGGCGUAAAGCGCGUGUAGGCGGUUCGGUAAGUCGGCUGUGAAAGUCCAGGGCUCAACCCUGGGAUGCCGGUCGAUACUGCCGGACUAGAGUUCGGAAGAGGCGAGUGGAACUCCUGGUGUAGCGGUGGAAUGCGCAGAUAUCAGGAAGAACACCAACGGCGAAGGCAGCUCGCUAGGACGGUACUGACGCUGAGACGCGAAAGCGUGGGGAGCGAACAGG
RNAcentral lists this ribosomal RNA (253 nucleotides) under uncultured bacterium. RNAcentral describes it as "partial 16S ribosomal RNA". It matches the Rfam family "Bacterial small subunit ribosomal RNA", at positions 524 to 776 of the family's 1533-position model. The record is from RNAcentral.